GAAUUGCAUUCGAUACUGGUUGGCUAGAGUAUGGGAGAGGAUGGUAGAAUUCCAGGUGUAGCGGUGAAAUGCGUAGAGAUCUGGAGGAAUACCGAUGGCGAAGGCAGCCAUCCGGCCUAAUACUGACGCUGAGGUACGAAAGCAUGGGGAGCAAACAGGAUUAGAUACCCUGGUAGUCCAUGCCGUAAACGAUGUCUACUAGCCGUUGGGGCCCUUGAGGCUUUAGUGGCGCAGCUAACGCGAUAAGUAGACCGCCUGGGGAGUACGGUCGCAAGACUAAAACUCAAAUGAAUUGACGGGGGCCCGCACAAGCGGUGGAGCAUGUGGUUUAAUUCGAUGCAACGCGAAGAACCUUACCUGGCCUUGACAUACAGAGAACUUUCCAGAGAUGGAUUGGUGCCUUCGGGAACUCUGAUACAGGUGCUGCAUGGCUGUCGUCAGCUCGUGUCGUGAGAUGUUGGGUUAAGUCCCGCAACGAGCGCAACCCUUUUCCUUAUUUGCCAGCACUUCGGGUGGGAACUUUAAGGAUACUGCCAGUGACAAACUGGAG
Molecule: ribosomal RNA, 550 nt
Filed under: uncultured Acinetobacter sp.
Lineage: Bacteria; Pseudomonadati; Pseudomonadota; Gammaproteobacteria; Moraxellales; Moraxellaceae
Description: bacterial SSU rRNA
Rfam family: Bacterial small subunit ribosomal RNA
Source: RNAcentral